This 582-nucleotide long non-coding RNA is filed under the name Nicotiana benthamiana. RNAcentral's name for it is "long non-coding RNA (NBEN_LNC035708)". The record is from RNAcentral. Lineage: Eukaryota; Viridiplantae; Streptophyta; Magnoliopsida; Solanales; Solanaceae.
UUAAUAACCGAGAUCUCGCAACAUGCUAAAUUUACACUUUGUCUUCUAAAUAUGUUAUCACGACCCGAAUUCUAACCUAUCCUGAUGGCGCCUAACAUGGUACUAGGCAAUCCGACAUCCGACAUUUACGAAUAACUCCAAUACUUUUAAUAGAAAAUGGAUUUAAAGCAGUUUAAAUAAUAAAACUUCUCAUAAAGAAGAUUGAAAAUCCAAAACACAACGCGAAAAUUCCCAACAUCGGGGUGUCACUGAGUACACAAGCAUCUAAAUAUCAUAAAUUUGGAAAAUAUGGUAACUAAUAGUCUAAAAGUAAAUACAAUCGGUGGAAGGAUAGGGAAGGAGAAACAAUGUCUGCAAAAACGCCGAACGACUACCUCAAAAUCUUGGAAGGGUCAACCGCACAGUACAACACCCACUGUGUCCGAAAAUACCUAGAUCUGCACACAAAGUGCAGGGCGUAGCGUGAAUACAACCAACUCAGUAAGUAACAAGUCUAAAUAAAGAAUUGAAAGUAGUGAUGAACUUUAUACUUAUAGUUCAAUUUCAGUAAUUUCAACAUAGGAAAGUAGACAUGCUUUCAAG